Molecule: non-coding RNA, 4969 nt
Organism: Nicotiana tabacum (common tobacco)
Lineage: Eukaryota; Viridiplantae; Streptophyta; Magnoliopsida; Solanales; Solanaceae
Source: RefSeq, a predicted model, not a curated record
AUCUAUAUACCUGGACAUUAUCUAUGUGCUUAUUUUUUUGUGUCAUAAGAUGUUUGGUGCAGUCGAUUGAGUGUCUGUCAUCGUCAUCUAGAAUAAAAAAUGAGUUUACUUGGAACUAUUCAACAAGUGAGGUUGAAAUCUGUCCAGUAGAAGCUCACUGGUAUCUUCAUUUUUAAGUCUCUGAACACAGUUAACCGUAAUACUAUUUCAAAUUGAAUGCCAUGCUUUCCAUUUUUACCAGGCCAAACUAAUGUCUAUCUUUCCUAAAGCAUAAUACUCUUCCACUUAGGAUAUACAGUUAAAAGCUGUGAAUCCCACUGUAAUACUUCCAAACAUCUAAAUAAACCGAAAAGUAAUUUAUGAUCUCACUUGUCAUUGAGCAGUCUGUGCUCCCCAUGCAUGCUAAAUCAUUGGUUUUCUCUUAAAACUGUAAACUUGAACAACGAUAUUUGAAAUGAAGUAUUCUUUCAGAUGGUGGUCAGACGAGAACAUUAAAAAGGUGUUACUCUACUUGUUAGUCUAUCACUAUUUACAUCAUCGAGUUGUUUUAUUCUUAAGAAGGCAGCGAUUUGAAGUUAUUUGAGAGCAAAGACGAAGAGAAGAGGACAACAUGGAGUGGUACAAGACGGUUAAGAGGGAAACGAAGUUAGCGGUCACGUCGGUGAAGAUAACAGCGUUUGGACGCUUGUAUGAAGAACUUGAGGGCAAAGGCGAGGACAAGAAGCUGUUUAAGCUAGCCAAGAUGAGAGAGGAAGGUCCACGACCUAGACCAAGUGAAGUGCAUCAAAGACGAGGAAGGAAAAGUAUUGGUAGAAGAGGCACUUAUUAGACGAAGAUAGCAGAUGUACUUUCACACACUCUUGAACGAGGAUGGGGAUUGGAACAUUAUGCCGGGUGAUCUGGAGCACUCCAAGAGUCGCCUAGAUUUUGGGUAUUAUAGGCGGAUAAAGGCCGAGGAGGCGGAGUGGGCUAUGCGUAGGAUGAACAGGGGAAGAGCGACUGAGUCUGACAAGAUUCCGGUAGAGUUUUGGAAGAACGCGGUUGGGCAGGUUCGGAGUGGCUCAAAGGCCUAUUUUAUGUUAUUUUUAGGGCAUCCAAAAUGCCUUAGGAUGGAGUACGAUGAUCCUGCUGUAUACGAACAAGGGAGAUAUCCAAAAUUGGAACAAUUACAUGAGUAUCAAGCUGUUAAGUCACACUAUGAAAGUUUGGGAGAGGGUGAUAGAGAUGAGGGUAAGGAGGAGUGUCUAUAUCCGAGAACCAGUUCGGAUUAAUGCCAGGGCGAUCAACCACAAAAGCCAUUUGUCUUAUAAGGAGGUUGGUGGAAUAUUAUAGGGAGAGGAAGAGGGACUUCCAUAUGGUGUUCAUUGAAUUGGAGACAACAUUCGAUAACGUUUCAAGAGAAGUUUUAUGGAGGUGUUUGAAGACGAGUGGUGUUCCUGUAGCGUACAUUAGAGCGAUUAAGGAUAUCUAUAAUGGAGCUAAGACCCGGUUAGAGCAAUAGGAUGAGACUCGGGAUACUUCCCGGUCAUGAUGAGGUUACACCAGGGAUCAACACUUAGCCCGGUCCUAUUCAUCAUGGUGAUGGAUGUAUUUACGCGGCACAUUAAAGAGGUGCCAUGGUGGAUGUUAUUUGCAGAUGAUAUAGUGCUGAUUGGCGAGACGCAAGGUGGAGUUAACGUCAGGCUGGAAGUUUGGAGAUAACCCUGGAAUCUAAAAGGUUCAAGUUGAGCAGGACUAAGACAAAGUACAUGGAGUGUAAGUUCAAUAGCUUAACUCAUGAGGAUGUAGUGGAAGUGAGACUUGAUACUUAAGUCAUCCCCAAGCGGGGUAGUUUCAAAUAUUUUGGGUAAGUAAUCCAAGGUAAUGGGAGAUCGAUGAGGAUGUCACACACCGUAUUGGAGUAGGAUGGAUGAAAUGGAGGCUUGCCUCUGGUGUCUUGUAUGAUAAGAAGGUGUUACCAAAACUUAAAAGUAAGUUAUGCAGAGUGGUGGUUGGACCGAUUAUAUUAUAUUGAGUGUUGGUCAGUUAAGAACUUUCAUGUCCAAAAGUUGAAAGUAGCGGAACUGAGGAUAUUGAGGUAAGACAUGAUCAGGAAUGAAGACAUUCAGGACAAGGUGAGCCUUUGUGGAGGAUAAGUUGCGGGAAAUGAGGUUGAGAUGGUACGAGCAUGUGAUGAUGAGAUGCCUAGAUCAGUGUUAUUAAAAGCGCUCGCUUCUCGCUUUAAGCGAUGAAGCGACGCGAGGCGCAGUGGUAGCGCUUUUCUGUUAAAAAGGCGACUCACAUUCGAAAAGCGUGCUCUUUUCUCGCUUAUGCGAGAAGCGACGCGUUAGAAAAAGCGAGAAAAAGCUCGCUUAAGCGAGCAGAAGGCAUCAGCUAGGGCUUUUUUAAAAAUUUUUGGGCAAAUAAACCAUCUGUUACCAAAACAUACGCUCUUCAAGGUCUUCUUCUCCAGCGACGACCACUGCUGCUCCAACCACUUCUUCUCCCGAUCUCGUAAAUUUAAUUUGAUUAUUCAAUGGCAUCAAGCCAAAAAAGAGAUCCAGCUUGGGCAUUUGAAGUUGCAGUUGGCAAUAAUAACUCAAGAGUCAAUGUAUCUUUUGUUAAAAAAUUUAUAACGGUGGAAUACAUCGUCACAAGAGACAUCUAAUAGGUGGUUUUAGAGAUGUCAAAGAAUGUCCAAGUGUUCCGGAUACUAUUAAGAAAGAAAUGAGAGAUUAUGUUGAGAAAAAAAAUGAGUUAAAAAAUCCAAUGAGCCAUGAAACAUCUAUGAUUAAUCUUCUUGAUGAAGAUAGUCAAAUGGAUGAGGAUGACCUUGAAGUCAAUGAUAUAAUGAGGCCACCUCCCUCUAAAUCUCAAAGAAAGAAUUCAACAAGUGGUAGUGGAUCAUCCACCGCUGGUAGCAAUGUGAAAGGUCCUCUUAAUCUUUUUUUCUCACAAAAACCAAAUGAAAAGAGAAAGGGUGAAGCUGUUGGCUUAGAAUCUUGUAGGAAGAGUUUGAGGGAGUGUGCUGUAGAUGCUUUUGCAAGGUGGAUGUAUGAUGCGGGGCUUCCUUUUAAUUGUGUGAAUUACACCGAUAGUUUUGGUGAAUUCAUUGAGGCCGUUGGCCAAUAUGGCCCGGGAAUGAAGCCCCCUACCUAUCACGAAGUAAGAGUUCCUUGUCUAAAAAAGGAGGUGGAUAAGACAUACAAGAUUGUUGAGGAGCAUAAGGCGCAAUGGAAAAUUUAUGGUUGUUCCAUUAUGAUGGACAAAUGGACUGCAAAAAAUGAAAAAAUGGUCAUUAAUGUUUUGGUGAAUUCUCCGAGAGGUAGUGUGUUUCUUGAAUCUUAUGAUGCUAGUGACUCCUCAACCAAUUCCAAUAAAAUGUUCAACUUGCUUGAGAAGACAAUAUUGAAAGUUGGACCGGAGAAUGUGGUUCAAGUUGUCACUGAUAACACAAGUGAGAAUAAAAAAACGGGUGACAUGUUGAAAGGAGUUUUCCCGAAUAUUUAUUGGACUCCUUGUGCUGCACAUUGUAUCAACUUGAUGUUUGGUGACAUUUUCAAGUUAGCCCCAUAUUCUACAGUUUUUGCUAAGGCGAUCAAGAUACAUUCUUAUAUUAGUCAAAGGCCGUUGUUGUUGAACAUGAUGAGGAGAUACACAAAACAAAGAAAUUUGGUGAAACCGGCUAAGACAAGAUUCGCAACAGCUAUCUUGACCUUGCAUAGCUUUUACCUGCAAAAGCAAAAUUUGCGAACCUUGUUCUUGUCAACCAAAUGGAGUGAGAGUAUUUAUGCAAAGGAAGCUCUUGGGAAAGAAGUUGCGAGAUUUAUUAUGGGUCCAUAUUUUUAGAAUGACACUGUUCAAGCACUUAAAGUUGGUAAUCCUUUGGUUAUUGUACUUCGUUUGGUGGAUGGGGAGAAAAAACCACCAAUGGGACACAUUUAUGAAGCCAGGGAUAGGGCUAAAGAAGCUAUUGAGAAGGCAUUUGAUCAUGAUAGGAAGAAAUAUGAGAGUGUUUGAAAUCAUUGAUAAAAGGUGGGCUGAUCAGCUUCAUCAACCUUUACAUGCAGCAGGGCAUAUUUUGAACCCCGGAUUGUUUUACACAAACAAUGAAAACAAGACUUUAGAUUUAAACGUUUGGAAGGGGUAUCAUGCAUGUGUUGCGAAGUUGGUGCCAGAUGAAGCGAUGCAAGACAAAAUAGGGCAAGAGCUUGGUGUGUAUAUGCAAGCCGAUGGAAUUCUUGGAUUAGCUUCGGCCAUUAGAGGCAGAACCAAAUUGGCACCAGUUGAAUGGUGGAUGCAAUUUGGUUAUGAAGUUCCAAACUUGCAACAAUUUGCUAUUAGAGUUCAAAGCUUAACUUGUCGCUCAUCCGGAUGCGAGAGAAAUUGGAGUGUUUAUGAACAUAUUCAUACUAAGAAGAGGAACAGGCUUGAGCUAAAGAAACUCAAUGAUCUCGUGUUCGUAAAAUAUAAUAGAACAUUGGCUCGUCGUUACAAAGCUCGCAAUAUCAUUGAUCCAAUUUUAUUGGAUAACAUUGAUGAAGCAAAUGAAUGGUUAACCGGAGCUCCCGAAAAUCAUGAAGAAGAAGAAGUGUUUGAAGGAGAAGGUCUCACUUUUGGUCAUGUUGCUAUGGCAAGUGAAGUUGAAGAGAAUGUUUAUGGUUUUAGGGGAAGUACUUUAAGGAGCAAAGAAAGAGUAUCUACAAGUACAUGUACAAGUAGAACCCUAAUUAAUGAAGCCUCCGAUGAAGAAGAAGAUGAUGAUGACCAAUAUAAUAACUCGAACAUGAUGACACUUCAAGAGUUUGGAGAUCUUGUUGAAGAAUAGGAUGUUGCUCCUUUUGUGAUUUUGUUUUGCAUUUGCUUAAUAUUUUAUGACUUUUGAGGAUUAUUCACUAUCUAGUUUUAGUAUCUAUUAUUUGCUUCUUGAUUCAAGAAUUGAAACAUUUGCUUAAUAUGUUAUUUUUAAUGAGUUCUUAGCCAUUUAUCU